RNAcentral lists this ribosomal RNA (497 nucleotides) under uncultured bacterium. RNAcentral describes it as "partial 16S ribosomal RNA". It matches the Rfam family "Bacterial small subunit ribosomal RNA", at positions 28 to 507 of the family's 1533-position model. The record is from RNAcentral.
GAUGAACGCUGGCGGCGUGCCUAAUACAUGCAAGUCGAGCGAACGGACGAGAAGCUUGCUUCUCUGAUGUUAGCGGCGGACGGGUGAGUAACACGUGGAUAACCUACCUAUAAGACUGGGAUAACUUCGGGAAACCGGAGCUAAUACCGGAUAAUAUUUUGAACCGCAUGGUUCAAAAGUGAAAGACGGUCUUGCUGUCACUUAUAGAUGGAUCCGCGCUGCAUUAGCUAGUUGGUAAGGUAACGGCUUACCAAGGCAACGAUGCAUAGCCGACCUGAGAGGGUGAUCGGCCACACUGGAACUGAGACACGGUCCAGACUCCUACGGGAGGCAGCAGUAGGGAAUCUUGCGCAAAGGGCGAAGGCCUGACGGAGCAACGCCGCGUGAGUGAUGAAGGUCUUCGGAUCGUAAAACUCUGUUAUUAGGGAAGAACAUAUGUGUAAGUAACUGUGCACAUCUUGACGGUACCUAAUCAGAAAGCCACGGCUAACUACGUG